Molecule: long non-coding RNA, 8542 nt
Filed under: Zea mays
Lineage: Eukaryota; Viridiplantae; Streptophyta; Magnoliopsida; Poales; Poaceae
Description: long non-coding RNA (ZMAY_LNC005024)
Source: RNAcentral
AGCUGCUGCAUUUUAUUUCUCUGAACUCGUAUUAUGAUGAAACGAAAUAACUUCUGAGUUCUGUUAUGACGUGCCCUUGAUUUACCAGAUGUGGAUAUCUAAGGAGGAGUACGAUGAGUCUGGCCCGGCAAUUGUUCACAGGAAGUGCUUCUAGGCUUCGCAAGUUCCUCAUCGUUGCCUAGUCUCAAGUUAUGUCCCCUUCAUUUCUCAAGAUACGUGUGGCAGAUUUGCAUGGUACGGUUCAUUUAUCAAAUUAUGCCCACCCCCUCUUUGUAUGUUGUGGCUCCAUGUGCGAGCACGCUGUCUGUCGUGACACCUGGUUCGUCAGAUGUUUUGUCAAACUUGCUUGGCUUGAUUGGUUGUACUUGUACCUGUAAGAGCUGAUAGUUAUAUGAAUGGCUUGGACUGUCCUGCUGUUUAUAGCCUUAGGACUAGUUUGGAAACACAAUCCCCCUUGGGGAUUAAAAGGGGCUGAGGAGGAAAUUAGUUCAUUUCCAUCUCAAUCCCUUUCAAUCCCGAAUGGGGUUUAAGGUUUCCAAAGUAGCCCUUAGUAUGUAUUCUGAGCAUCCGUGCAAAGUAUGAAUGACCCUGUAGAUGGGCUGGGUUUUCUGGUUUAUAUUCUUUAUACCGUGUCCAACAGCUUACUCAUAUGGUUAUCCAAAACACCGAUUUACACUGUAGAUUGCAUUGUUCACAGAGUAGAGUUUGAAUAUGGGGAUGUGGAUGAGUAAGCUGCUGCCAAUUGUGAAGACUUGGAAUAUAAACAGUGACGUAGUGCAGAUAUUUGACAACCGGUGGUUACACAACAAUGGUAGCCUAGUUUGGAUUUUUUUAACAACCAGAAAACAAGUGUUAGAAGAGUAGCCUCUGCUGCAUUUUAUGUCAAGUACUACCACCAUUUUUUAUUUGACGCUGGUUAGUGCAAUUUUACUACACCAUUUUUUUAUUUGACGCUGGUUAGUGCAAUUUUGUACUAAGAAACGUCAAGUAUAAAAAAAUCAGAGGGAGAACCGAAGUAUUAGCUGACAGUCUGAGGUUUUCAGGACACUCGAGGAUACGAUUUGCAGCUCCGAAUUUGACAAAAUCUCACAUUGGAACACUGUUCCCUGUCCGUGUCUACUUACAGCGUUGGUUGAAUACUUGAAACAAAUCAUCAUACACAUGAGCCCUGGAAUCUGCUUGCUCACAAGAUUUGGCAGGACUAGCCUAACCUAUACUUUUGGUACAAAAUUUUUCUUCUGCUUCAGCCUGUAGAAUACAGAUGCAUUCAGAAUAAAUGUUCAGUCCACAGUUUCAACGGAUCAGUUCAAUCCAGAAACAGACCCUCGAAGAUAGCCUAAAACUACCCAUGCGGAAUCUAAACGAGCUAGUGAAAUUCUAAUUUCACUGUCACAGUCCGGUGCAUGUCAUACAUAUAUGAACCUGACAAUAGUUUUUAAAACGAGGAGUUUUGGGAGAAAAUAGAAAAACCGGAGUUUUGGGAGAAAAUAGAAAAACCGGAGUUAUGGGAGGGAAAUAGCAAAAUCGAUCGGUGUCCAAAAAUUGUGAAAAUUAACACAAAAACAUCUUAAAGAAGGUUCACACCAAAUUUUACUUCCAAAAUCAAAAAAGUUUGAAUGCUGGGCACCUGAUGUGUCCGAUAUGCACGAGGGGUAGCUAUAAUUUUCAAGAAAAAAAAUUCACUUACGGUUUAAAUCAAUUCCGAUCAUUAUUUAAAAUUUUGCAGUGUACUGCUCUUAGAGCAUCAGCACCCAAAACUUACUAGAACUCCAUCGACCUCAAAACCCAUCUCUAGAAAAAUGAUACAUCAACCUCUGAAAAUCGCUAUGAAGGUUGAUAUUUUUUCGUGGUGCUUGUGGUAAAUCUGCCCAAAUUCACGUGGCACGAAUGUUCAUCAAAUGUCUUUUCAAGUACCUAAACAAUCAAACCAAUCCCAAAAUGCUAAAACUCAAAAUCCAAAGAAACAAUCAAAGAAGGAAAAACCAAAUACAAUCAAAACAAGAGAUCAAGUGACAUGAUUUUAGAGGACAAAUUUGUUUAUUGCUUGAAAUCAACUUUGCAUAGGGUAUAGUCUUACACAUAUGCGAGGAUUAUAUAGGUCCAGUUUCCAUAUUUGGAUCUCUCUUAGAGGACAAGUUUGAAUUAUAAAACUAAAUACUGCCUAAGCACUUUGAAAGGGAAAUGACUUUAACAUUUCCUAUAAUCGAUUUUGGUGUUUGACGACCAUCACAAACCUUAUGUACUAACUAGUUUGUCUAGUUGAUCAUUUCUCAGGUGAAUAAGUUUAUCUAUAAUUAUUCUAAGUCGAUUGUCCGGAAUACCGUAGAUUAUUCCAGACAGGAGAAGCUUUUUGGAAAAACACAUAUGUGCAGACCGUUCGGGCCCUUGCGGCGGACCGUCCGCGACAAUAGGGUGAGCCUCGGACAGGAACUCUGCAAAAACAUAUGUUAACACUACGGACCGUCCGAAGGAGAAGCGAGCACCGUCCGGGACUAGGCGCGGACCGUCCAACCUCAAGCGCGGACCGUCCGGUCGUUGUAAAAUUAGAAAACCCCGAAGGUGACGGGUUCGGUAAAAUUCAUUUUUAGCGUCCCCGCGGACAGUCCGGGGUGCACAGCUGGACCGUCCGCGACUGCUCUGUCUGACAAUCUGACGACAUAUUUAAUGCACUUAUAGUCGUUGAUAUAGUCAUUAUUGCUGACCGUUGCGAUUUCAGCCGUUGAUGUACAAGGGCGGACCCUCCGCGUUCAGCAGAAUUGGAGCAACGACUAUAAAAUGGUUGGAGACUAUAAAUACAACCCCAACCACCUCCAUUCACUUAAUCCAAGCCUCUCAUUCACUCUCAUUCAAUACAAGAGCAUUCACUUCAACCAAAGACACAUUCAAGGUUCCAAAUCUUUUCAAGUUCCAUAAUUGUGUCUAGUGAUCAAUAGCGAUUAGUGACUUGAGAGAGUGUGAUUUUGUGUCCUUUCUUAUUGCUUGGCUUUUAAUCGUGCUUUCUUCAUCUCUCUCUAAACAUUCUAAGUGAUUUGUAAAGCAAGCAAGAGACACCUAAUUGUGUUGUGAUCCUUGCGGGGUCUUAGUGACCAGUGUGAUUAAGAAGAAGCACUCGAUCGGUCUAAGUGAUCGGUUGAGAGAGGGGAAGGGUUGAAAUAGACCCGACCUUUGUGCCAUCCUCAACGAGAAGUAGGUUCUUUGGAACCAAACCUCGGGAAACAAAUCACCGUGUUCAUUUGUGUUGAUCUUCAUCACUCGAUUUGUUUCUUCCCUCUCCUUGCUUUCUAAAGUUCUUGGCCCAGCGGCAACUCCUAGGGAGGCGAUUUGAGCUGAGGAGGGGAGGACACUGCCGUGUGAUCCAUGAUGCUGGGCGAGUUCUCGCCUAGGCUCCCCACCCGGGGGAAGUGACCUCCCAUGGUAUUGGCUGCAAGGCAUUCCUGACUAGGGUCGCAGCUUGCCUCGCUAGGUAGGGACAUGAGUCCGUUUUUUGACCCUGACAAGAGGAUAUCCAGGAACGAGUCCUGGACGCAGUCCAGUACUCCCACUACCUCAGUACAAUUGGGUGGUGGCGAGCCGUGCGACCCAUGGUACUCUUGAGGUGGGUCGAGUAGGAGGUCGCCGAGACUUCCAGCUACGUCGAGGAAGUCGCUUGCCAAGGGAGACUAGGCUUCUGAGGCCCUCGUCAUCUCUCCUUUUUUGACGACAAAAUCCAAACUCUCGAAGCGAAUGUCCGUCCCUGGAGUCCAGACCGCGCCACUAUCGUUGCUAGCCAUCCGGAGCUUGGAUGAUCUUGUCGCGGAACGCGCAAGUCCCCUACCUGGCGUGCCAACUAUCGGUGUUUCGUACCUUGCUCCAACAAGUAAUUUUUUGUGCGCGUUCCGGGCUUUAGAGGGUGUGCACGGAUGGCGCAAGAUUUAUACUGGUUUGGGCAGAAUGUCCCUACUUCUAGUCAUUGGUGGCUUGCGCUACCGACACCAUUAAUGAUAAAACUCGUAGUAGGAGUUACAAGUAGUCGAGAGAGGGAGGAGAGGCUCCCAAAUAUCUUAUCAAGGUGGAAGUGGAGCUUAAAGCUACAAGGUUGAGUCCUAGCUAAGUCUUGGCUUGGCGGGGCUCCAACCUCCUGGUCCUCGUCGGCGCUCCUCCUCUUGUUUGUCCUUGUGGGUUCUUCUCCGUUUGAAGGUGUUCGGUUGCCUCUCUGUCCCCUCGCCUUGAGGCGAGCCUCACCCUUUCAUAGGCCGGGAGAGGGGUCGAGCGGUGUCUUCUCUGGGAAGGAGUCAUAUUGGUUUACCCCGGGUGAGACCACACGUACUCGCGGGGCCUGGGGCUGCCUGGCUAUCGCACAUUUAUCGUGGUGUAUGACAUGAGGGCGACGAUGGUCUCAUGCACCAUCAUUCGGGCUAUGCUAAGCCUUGGCUACCGUAGCCUGGGGCUUGACGCGGCCCGUCGUGUUGUGCCCCGUGGGAGGUCUGCGCACUCAGGCCUAGUCCGAUAGGUCAUAAGUGCGCCGCAGGCCGAGGGGAGGGCUUGCCAUUAAUACACCGGAGUCCAGGGGUUCGUAGGUCAUGAGCGCUAUGCGACCCGAUGGCUCCGUAGGUCAUGAGUGGGAAGCGGACCAGUGCCCACAUUGUGGCUCGGUGCUAGGCAUGGUUAAUGCAGUCAGUCAUUUAUGGUAGGUCAGUCUGGCGGUGGGCACAUGAUCCACUCAAGUGGUUCCCUUCUGACAUGCCCAUCCCCCCUUGUUAAGCUCCGCCACGCCCGACCCUGAGCUCGGUGGCACGGGGUUCGACCAGGGGCGGGUCCUUCCAGGGCUGGUACACCUGCCUUUUUUGACUGACUAAUGGGCCCCAGGGAUCGGGGGCUCUUUCCUAAGUACGCUCACUGACCGCUGGGUCCCAAGGACCGAGGAUCAUUUCCCCGACAAAACAUAUAGUCCAUAUACCAAAUAUUAAACAUACAAGAAAAACAUUUCAUUUUAUCUUAACUAAAAGGCCAAACAUGGUAUGAGUUAAAAAGGAGCACAAUUCUUUUAGCUAGCAGGAUGUUACUACAUGAGAGUGCUAUGUUGCGUGAGGCCUCUUAUCGUGUUGGGAUUGAGUGGUUUCUCACAACCAAUCUAUAAAGUAACGACCCACUCAUAAACAAGAAGGAGAGAAAGAUGAAUAGACCUACACACUGUCGUGUUGGGUGAGUUAACAAACGAGAGGUGAGGGAUAGAGUUAUAAAGGCAUGUUUGGAUCGUAGCCUCACUUGCCAUACUUUGCCUAACAUUUCUGCUUAAGUUUAGUUCUUCAAUUCGAACGACUAACCUUAGGCAAAGUGUGACAUAGUUAGCCACGAACCAAACAGGCCCUAAAUGUGUGCUUCGCAUGUGACGCAGAAGUGAGGGAAGAGGGAAACAAAUAUCCAUUUCACGCGUGAGGCAGGAAUACCUAGAGAAAGAUACAUCAUUUUUAAGACACCUUGUUAAUGUAUGUGCUGGCCACAAGCAAGUCCAGACGAGUGCACUAUUUUUUCCUUAAAAAAAUACUCCAUUCGUUUUAAAUUAUAAUUCGUUUAACUUUUCAGUCCAAAUUUGAUCGGCUCAUUUUAUUUAAAAAAUUCAUAAUUAUUCGGAAUGAGUAUUUUAGACUAGCCGUCGAUGCAUAUACCACCUGCAUUCCCCUUUCGUCCACUGCAUUUUAUCCUUCCUGGUGCUCUGUCCACCUCUCUCGCUCUGGGCCGCCGCCGCCGCCCUAAGCCACGUGCUGAGGCUUUCGUUGGUCUCUUCGCCGGCGACGAGCACCCAGGUACUCCCUCUUCUUCUCUUCCCUUCGUGCUGUGCGAAGUCCUUUGUGGGGCGACACGGGCGGAGUCCGCGCUGCCGCCGCAAGAGUUCGCUCGCCUCGCUCCUCCCAACCUCGCCGUCGCCUGGGCGCCGGUCCAAGGAUGGCGGCGGCGAUGCCUCUCUGCUUUCCUCGCGCGUUCUCCCCCCAAGCGUGCUUGUCUCCUCGUGCCUGCGCCAGCUAGGACGCUUCCCUGGACAAGCUGCCGUCGUCGUCGCUGUCUCUUGCGUGGACGAUGUCCUGCCGGACGGCGACUCAGCGGUGGCGCCGGCCUCGAUCUGGUGCGGUAUGGCCGGAUCCGUGGCGUGGUGUGCUGUGGGUGAAGAUCCACUUGCCAGGGGCACGGAUCCGCACUCCAUGAGUCCGGAUCUGCACUCCUUGGAGGUGGUGAGGUGAUUCACCGGCAACAACAGCGGUGACAUCUCGACGCACGCGGGUGGCGGUGCUAUGGCACCCUCCUAGCUCCGAAAGUCUUUGUAAAAAAAAUUAAAACAUAAAAAUAAAAAUAUUGGGUGCCCCUUUACUGGGCUUGCCCCUGAAUGUGAUGUUGCAAAUUUCAGAUGCAUCAGAAACUGUUGUCCUUGUGCGAACUUUUCUGUAUAAAUUGAAUUUACCGCUCUCAGUUAGCAUGCACAUUCAAAUCCACUGUUCCUUUUCAACCACAUAGUGAACCAAAACACUCUCAUCACUGAGCGAUAUAUGAUUCUAUCCAUAUGCCACUUGCAGCAGUUCUGUAGAAAUGGCUGAUGGUGAGGACAUCCAGCCUCUUGUCUGCGACAAUGGCACUGGAAUGGUCAAGGUCAGCCCCCGUCCCUGACUUUGACAACCUUUACUUCCAAAUAUGCCACUAAUUAUGUCUGUCUUUUAGGCUGGUUUUGCUGGCGAUGAUGCACCAAGGGCGGUUUUCCCUAGCAUUGUUGGCCGUCCUCGCCACACUGGUGUCAUGGUAGGGAUGGGACAGAAGGACGCAUAUGUUGGCGAUGAGGCACAGUCCAAGAGAGGUAUUCUUACGCUCAAGUACCCGAUUGAGCACGGUAUUGUGAGCAACUGGGAUGACAUGGAGAAAAUCUGGCAUCAUACUUUCUACAACGAGCUUCGUGUUGCCCCAGAGGAGCACCCUGUGUUGCUCACCGAGGCUCCUUUGAACCCAAAGGCCAACAGGGAGAAGAUGACCCAAAUUAUGUUUGAGACUUUCAAUGUUCCUGCCAUGUAUGUUGCAAUCCAAGCGGUGCUCUCACUCUAUGCUAGUGGGCGUACUACUGGUAUGACCUGAUCCUUCCUUUAGUUUGGCGUUGAUUCAGUUUCAUAGUUCUAGCUAGCAUCAUCUCUUUGAUCCCAAUAUGCUGUUGUCAACUGUUUAUCUGAGGCUAUUGUCAAGGUCAUACGAAGCCACCUCAUCAUUAUCUUCUAUUCUUGCUCAUGAGUCAUGAGAUUGCACAACUCAGAUACACUGCAUGUGUGUUUACCACCUCAGUCUGUAUGUUGAUAUGAAUUCAGUAAAAAAAUAAGUAUAAUAUAUCAAGAAUAAAAUAUGGAAGUUAAACUUAAUUGUUUACAUGGUGUGGCUGAAGUUUCCUCUUUUUCUUUUUUUUCCCUUAUCUUGUUUACUUUCUCAAUCUACAGGUAUUGUACUCGACUCUGGUGAUGGUGUGAGCCACACUGUGCCCAUUUACGAAGGAUAUGCCCUUCCUCAUGCCAUUCUUCGUUUGGAUCUUGCUGGUCGGGACCUCACAGACUCCCUCAUGAAAAUUCUCACUGAGAGGGGUUACUCCUUCACAACCUCAGCCGAGCGAGAAAUUGUAAGGGACAUCAAGGAGAAGCUAGCAUAUAUAGCCCUUGACUAUGAGCAAGAGUUGGAAACUGCCAAGAACAGCUCUUCAGUUGAAAAGAGCUAUGAGCUACCUGAUGGACAAGUAAUCACCAUUGGUGCAGAGAGAUUCAGGUGCCCUGAGGUCCUCUUCCAGCCGUCGAUGAUUGGUAUGGAGGCUGCUGGAAUCCAUGAGACAACAUACAAUUCAAUCAUGAAGUGUGACGUGGAUAUCAGGAAGGACCUCUAUGGUAACAUUGUGCUCAGUGGUGGUUCGACUAUGUUCCCGGGUAUCGCUGAUCGUAUGAGCAAGGAGAUCACUUCCCUUGCACCAAGCAGCAUGAAGAUCAAGGUCGUUGCACCGCCUGAGAGGAAGUACAGUGUCUGGAUAGGAGGGUCGAUCCUAGCCUCGCUCAGCACUUUCCAACAGGUAUGUAUUUUCUAUAUUUGUUUCAGCUGCAGCACUUCAUUUCUUUUAACUCUAUUAUCGCCGAAAUGAAAUCACUUCUGAAUUCUGUUAUUAUGUGCCACUGAUUUACCAGAUGUGGAUAUCGAAGGAGGAGUACGACGAGUCUGGCCCGGCAAUUGUUCACCGGAAGUGCUUCUAGGGUUUCACAAGUUCCUCGUCGUUACCUAGUCUCAAAUUAUGUCCCCUCCAUUUCUCGAGAUAUGUGUGGCAGAUUUGCAUGAUACGUUUGUUUGUUUCCAUCGGACCUGAAGUCUUCUUGGGGAUAGGCUCCCCCCUUUGUAUGUUGUGGCUCCAAUCCAUGUGCGAGCACGCUGUGUCUGUCGUGACACCUGGUUCGUGAGAUGGGUUGUCAAACUUGAUUGGUUUGUUGUGCGUGGCUGGAAGAGCUGAUAGUUAUAUAUUUGGCUUGGACUGUGCCGCUUGUAUGUAUCUGAAUUCUGAAAGCGU